This 64-nucleotide transfer RNA is filed under the name uncultured Isochrysis. Lineage: Eukaryota; Haptophyta; Isochrysidales. The record is from RNAcentral.
GCUCCUAGCGCGUUCUCCUUCUCCUCUCCCCAUCUCACGAUGGCGCCCUCCCUCUCCUCCCUCU